This 403-nucleotide ribosomal RNA is filed under the name uncultured bacterium. Its description in RNAcentral is "partial 16S ribosomal RNA". It matches the Rfam family "Bacterial small subunit ribosomal RNA", at positions 28 to 526 of the family's 1533-position model. The record is from RNAcentral.
GACGAACGCUGGCGGCGUGCCUAAUACAUGCAAGUCGAACGCAGUGGGGACGGGUGAGUAACACGUGGGUAACCUCCCAUCAGAGGGGAUAACACCUGGAAACAGGUGCUAAACCGAGACCGAUGGAUGGACCCGCGGUGCAUUAGCUAGUUGGUGAGGUAACGGCUCACCAAGGCCAUGAUGCAUAGGCGGCCUGAGAGGGUGUUCGGCCACACGGGGACUGAGACACGGCCCAGCCUCCUACGUGAGGCAGCAGUAGGGAAUCUUCGACAAUGGACGAAAGUCUGACCGAGCAACGCCGCGUGAGUGAAGAAGGUUUUCGGAUCGUGAAACGCUGUUGUUAGAGAAGCGGUAUCUAACCAAAAUGCCACGGCUUACUACGUGCCAGCAGCCGCGGUAAUAC